GGGGCGGUAGCUCAGCUGGUUAGAGCAGCGGACUCAUAAUCCGUCUGGUCGCGGGUUCGAGCCCCGCCCGCCCCA
Molecule: transfer RNA, 75 nt
Filed under: Mumia flava
Lineage: Bacteria; Bacillati; Actinomycetota; Actinomycetes; Propionibacteriales; Nocardioidaceae
Rfam family: tRNA
About the family: Transfer RNA (tRNA) molecules are approximately 80 nucleotides in length. Their secondary structure includes four short double-helical elements and three loops (D, anti-codon, and T loops).
Source: Rfam by way of RNAcentral